This 492-nucleotide ribosomal RNA is filed under the name uncultured bacterium. RNAcentral describes it as "partial 16S ribosomal RNA". It matches the Rfam family "Bacterial small subunit ribosomal RNA", at positions 28 to 507 of the family's 1533-position model. The record is from RNAcentral.
GGUGAACGCUGGCGGUAGGCCUAACACAUGCAAGUCGAACGGCAGCACAGUAAGAGCUUGCCCUUACGGGUGGCGAGUGGCGGACGGGUGAGGAAUACAUCGGAAUCUACUUUUUCGUGGGGGAUAACGUAGGGAAACUUACGCUAAUACCGCAUACGACCUACGGGUGAAAGCAGGGGAUCUUCGGACCUUGCGCGAUUGAAUGAGCCGAUGUCGGAUUAGCUAGUUGGCGGGGUAAAGGCCCACCAAGGCGACGAUCCGUAGCUGGUCUGAGAGGAUGAUCAGCCACACUGGAACUGAGACACGGUCCAGACUCCUACGGGAGGCAGCAGUGGGGAAUAUUGGACAAUGGGCGCAAGCCUGAUCCAGCCAUACCGCGUGGGUGAAGAAGGCCUUCGGGUUGUAAAGCCCUUUUGUUGGGAAAGAAAAGCAGCAGGUUAAUACCCCGCUGUUCUGACGGUACCCAAAGAAUAAGCACCGGCUAACUUCGUG